This is a long non-coding RNA of Salarias fasciatus (jewelled blenny), 834 nucleotides long. RefSeq lists it as uncharacterized. NCBI's taxonomy places the organism in Eukaryota, Metazoa, Chordata, Actinopteri, Blenniiformes, Blenniidae. The transcript has 3 exons. The record is from RefSeq and is a predicted model, not a curated record.
UUUUAAUCAAACGUAAAGAUAGAUGGCCAUGUGACUGACCCUAAAAUGAGAUUAAUUGAAGUUCUUUAAACAACAAAAAUGUUAUCCAGGUGGAGAUUACCAAUCAGGUUUCGUGACUAUUUGCAUGUCAUUGGUCAAAUUAAAAUGUGAGUGCACCUCCCUCUCCUGUCUUCUUUUGAUAAGAUUCACAUCUGUGAGACAUCACCUGCUGCAAAGAUGAGCAGUUCGGACAAAGACAAACCCGAGCACUGUGAUCAGGGCUCUGCCGACAGCAGCAGGAGGAGCCCAGAGCCAGGACACGGGCGUCCUCCAAGGAGGGGAGGCGGUAGCCCAGGGAAAGGACGUCCUGACAGGAGGAGCCCAGAUAGAAGACCCGGAGGUCCUCCAAGGAGGAGCAGCAAUAGCCCAGGGAAAGGACGUCCUCACAGCAAGAGCCCAGAUGGAAAACGUGGAGGGAGAAAUAGCAACAGUCCGAAGGGAAGAAAUAAUCAGGACUCUCAGUGAACAGACGGUGGGAGUCCUUAGGCAGCCAGAAGGGCUGCGACUAAUGAGAGGGUUGCCUCAGACAGCAGAUGUGUCUUCCACCAGAUCAACACUCUGCUUUUAAAAGAAACUCUACAAGAAAAAACAUCUCAGUAUUUUACGUUCUACUGGUUUGUGUGCACAUAUUUCUUGUCUUCCUGCAGCUUGUCAACCUGCCUGCACGGUCUGACAUUCGACCAACGGUGCUGAGAAGACAUGCAUGCAUGAAAUCGCUAACACACUGUACCGUGUCAACAUGAGAGAAGAAUAUGUGGUUCAGACUGGAUCAUGAAUUAAAAUACUUUAAAGACA